UGGGGAAUCUUGCACAAUGGAGGAAACUCUGAUGCAGCGACGCCGCGUGGACGAUGAAGCCCUUCGGGGUGUAAAGUCCUUUCGACCGGAACGAUAAUGACGGUACCGGUGGAAGAAGCUGCGGCUAACUACGUGCCAGCAGCCGCGGUAAUACGUAGGCAGCAAGCGUUGUUCGGAAUUAUUGGGCGUAAAGAGCUCGUAGGCGGUUUGCCAAGUUUGGUGUGAAAUCUCCCGGCUUAACUGGGAGGGUGCGCCGAAUACUAGCAGGCUAGAGUACGGGAGAGGAAAGCGGAAUUCCUGGUGUAGCGGUGAAAUGCGUAGAUAUCAGGAGGAACACCUGCGGUGUAGACGGCUUUCUGGACCGAAACUGACGCUGAGGAGCGAAAGCGUGGGUAGCAAACAGG
Molecule: ribosomal RNA, 404 nt
Filed under: uncultured Candidatus Solibacter sp.
Lineage: Bacteria; Pseudomonadati; Acidobacteriota; Terriglobia; Bryobacterales; Solibacteraceae
Description: bacterial SSU rRNA
Rfam family: Bacterial small subunit ribosomal RNA
Source: RNAcentral